GGCAUAGAAUGGAGUCUUCUGGAGUAUGGAAUCUCACCACUUCAGUCCAACACAGAGUUGUUCCCAAAUCCAAGAUCACUGAGCAGGAAGAGGAGUAUGACCGGUUCCUGCAUCGCGUCGGGAUACAGCACCCAAAGAUGGGUUAGUGGGUGAACACUAGUAUGUACGCAAGAAUAAAGAUAAAAUAAUGCCAUUAUUCAAAUCCAAAGUAAAUAACUAUAUGCAACCACAUACAUGCAUAUAUAUAUAUAUCAUGCCGAGAAAUAAAAUCGGGUUUAGCAUGCAUUUAAAACCUUUAACUUGGGAUUGUGUGGCUCUGCCAUCCUAAAUCUACCCAUGGGCUAUAUGGGUUCAACUCACCCUGCUGAAAAGGCCCCGGUGCAUGUUAGCCAACGAGCCAGAGAAAAACCUGAGAUGACUAGUACAUCCAAAAUACAAGUGUGACAAAAUACACACGAUCACCAAGACCAACCUCACAACGGCAAAUUUGCGCUUCCAGUUUUCAUUCCCUGGGACCACUACCUUCCACGGCUUUGCUAACAAAUUCCCCUUUAAGCCUAUAUUAAAACCAUUCACACACAACCAACCAAUUACCAAGGAGUCUCUUUUUCGGCAUUAACCAUUGGUAUCGUCAUACCAAAACUAGAGCUUGUAAGUCUAUCCAUUUAUGCCAUUCCAAAGCCAUUAAACUAAUUAGAAUCCAAGGUUUCCGUUUAAAAUAAUACCACAGCCACCAAGUCCUUUCCAAUCCAUUUAAAAUCAUUUAAACCAAUUUAGGUUCCAUUACCAUAGUAUGCAAUGCAAAGUUUUCAAUUAUAGUCAAACUAUGUGACAAAAUCAUUCUCAUAGACAUUUUAACAAACAUGUUGAGGGCUUAAGAUUUUUCCAAAACCAAAACCAUAUAUCAAUUGACCAUUCCCAUGCAACCACAUGUUCAAACCAUAAUUAUAACAUGAAAACCAUAAGAAAAACAUGGGAAAACAUUAUCCAACUAAGAACAACCAAAACCCCAACAUAUACUUCAAAAUCCAAAACAAUCCCACAAUAAUGCCAUGAAAAUCAUUCAUUCAAACAUUCUUUUAGUUGAACUAACAAUGAGGAAAGAGUAUCAUUCCUUAGACAACAAGGAAGAUGGAGAGAAACCACCCUUUAGAUCGUUAAAUAAUUGACUUAAAGAAAACCAUAGUUUUUCUUGAACCAAGAUCUUGAGAGAGAUUUGAGAGUGUUUAAAGAGUGUUUGAUUGGGAAUAAUAGGUUAAGGAAGCCUCCAAAGGUGUUUUAUGUCGUGGGGUUCAAAAGGUGUUAAGAGAGGAAAUAUCCAAAAUACCCCCAACUUUAACUAUAAAAAGGACAUAGGAAGGUACGGCUGGACCACUCAACUCGUAUCCACAUCAUAUGAGUGGUACCCUCUAAUCGUAUCUUGAUCAGAAAGUUAGACACCAAAUUCUAUCCAACAUACGACUCCUCAGAAUAACUCAUACCAUCACCAUACAACAAGUACCCUUUAAGUCAUAUCCUAAGAAGAACAUCAAGGCUAGAUAUUGGACAACAUACGGAUGGACACCAUACCCCUCGUAUCAUGAACAUAUGACUCAUCACUACCAACCCAUAACCAAAAUAGAAACUCAACCACCAAACAUUGGACACCCAACGAGUUGGAUCACCUAACCCGUACCUACACCAUACGAUUAAUAUGGUGAGUCGUAUGAUGAACAAAAAGCUUAAGACUCAAGAAAUUUGAAAGGUCCAGAACCCAGGGUGUUUUUAUUCUCCCCCACUUGGAUCAUUCAUCCUCGAAUGAUGAAACAAGGCAGUAUAAGAACAAUUAAACCCCCAAACGUCUCUACUCUUACCUUUCUGACAGAAAACAGAACACCAAGGAAUUCAACUUUUUACCUUUAACAAAGACAAUAAAAAAAGAGGUAAAGAAUCAACACAUACUGACAUACGAAUUUCUGAAGCGAAAAAUAAAAAUGGAUACUUGGUCUUCAUGUCCUCUUCAGCUUCUCAUGUAGCCUCUUCCACCUUGUGGUUCCUCCAUAGAACCAUUACCAAGGCCACAUCCUUGGUCUGCAAUCGAUGAACCUGAUGAUCCAAGAUCUCAACUAGGAUAUCCUCAUAAGAUAAGGAAUCUAAAAUACCAAUAUCUUAAUAGGCACAACCUGUGACGGAUCGCCAAUGUACCUCCACAACAUAGAGAUAUGGAAUACCAGGUGAAUGGAUCUCAAGCUAGAUGGCAACUCCAACUCAUAUCUGAUAUUUCCAACCCUUCUCAAAAUCACAUAAGGACCCACAUAUCAGGGACUAAGCUUCCCCUUUAUCCCAAACUGCAUCACUCCUUUCAUGGGAGACACCUAUAGGAACACUCUAUCUCAAACCUCAAACUCCAAGUCCCUUUGCCUCAUGUUUCCAUAAGACUUUUGAUGACUUUAGGCAGCCUUAAGCCUAUCUCGAUUCACCUUUACCUUCUUCAUAGAUUGGUGAACCAAAUCUAUCCCAAAUAUAUCCACCUCACCAAGCUCAAACCACCCAAUAAGAAACCUACACCUCCUACCAUACAAUACUUCAAAUGGAGCCAUCCUAAUGAUAGAGUGGCAGCUAUUAUUGUCGGCAAACUCUAAAGAGGCAAAUGUUCAACCAACUACCACCAAAGUUGAUCACGCAAACCCGAAGCAAAUCCUCUAACAUUUGAAUAGUCCUUUUUGCUUGUCCAUCUGACUACUGGUGAAAAAUAAAAAUAAGACUCACCUUGGUCCCCAAACCUUUCUAAAAUGACAAGCAAAAUUGAGAUAAAACUACAUACCAAAAUUAUAUAUGAUAGAAAUUGGUACCCCAUGCAACUUCACAAUCUCUUGAAGAUAAAACCUUGCAUUAUCCUCAGUCGAGAAGUUAGUCCUUACUAGUAAAAAGUGAGCUGACCUUGUCAUCCUAUCCAUGAUGACCCAAACUGAAUCAAAUUGAUUUUGAGACUAAGGGAGAUCAGUAACAAAAUCCAUGUUGAUUACUUUCCACUUCCAUUCAGGCAACUUAAUCUCUGACAUAAUCUUUUGGGCCUCAUGUGCUCAACUUUAACUUGUUGGCACACCAUGUACUUGGCCACAAAAUUAGCCAUAUCCCGCUUCAUAUUGUUCCACCAAUACAUCUCCUUGAGGUCAUAAUACAUUUUUGUCAAACCAGGAUAAACAAUAUAGUGCGGCUCAUGCGCCUCAUCCAAAAUCCUCUCUCGUAAACCAUCUACAUCGGGAACACAUAAUUUUCCUUGGUAUCACAAAGUAACAUCACCACUAAUCUUGAAGGCCAUCACUUUUUACCCACCUACAUCACCCUUAAUCCUCAUCAAGAUAGGAUAUAACAUCUACUUUUCCUUGAUUUCAGCACCAAGACACGAUCGUGCUACUUUCUGCACAAACACACUACCACUCUCGGAGUCCAAAAUAUGAACUCUAAGGUUAGCCAAAUGGUGAAUGUCUUUCACUAACUCCCAUUUCACCUUAUACACAUAAGCUAGAAUCCCCAUGGAUAACCUGCUAAGAGAAUAAGCAACCAUGUUAGCUUUACCUGGGUGGUAGUAAAGACUCAUAUAAUAAUCCUUGAGAAGUUCAAGCUAUCUCCUUUGCUUGAGGUUAAGCUCUUUUCUAGUAAACACAUAAUGCAGGCUCUUAUGAUCAGAAAAGAUAGCCACAUGUACUCCAUACAAAUAGUGACGCCAUCUUUCCAAUGCGAACGCACAACUAACAGCUCCAAGUCAUGAGUCAUAUAGUUCUUCUCAUGCACCUUUAACUGUCUAGAGGCAUAAGCUAUCACCUUUCCAUACUACAUCAAAACACAACCAAGCUCCAUAUGGGAUGCAUCAUAGAAGACCACAAACCCAUCAGUACCUUCAAGCAAACUCAAAAUCAGAGCCAAAGUUAGAUAAUCCUUCAACUUCUCAAAACUACCCUUAGAAAUAUCACACCAUAGGAACUUUACCUUCUUCUAAGUCAAUUUAGUUAAUGGGGUAGCUAUAGUCGAAUAACUCUCCACAAACCUCGUGUAGUAACCCGCUAAACCUAAGAAGCUCCAAAUGUCAUUGGAUUUAUGGGUCUAGGCCACUUCCUCACCACUGUAACUUUCUAUUAAUCCACCAUGAUCCCUUCACUAGAAAUGACAUGACCCAAAAAAGUGAUAGCCUUUAACCAGAACACACAUUUUGAGAAUUUGGCAUAUAGUUGAUGCUUCUUCAGGGUCUACAAUACAAUACAGAGGUGAUCGGAAUAAUCCACCUUACUUUUUUAGUACACCAGAAUGUCAUCUAUGAAGACAAUAAAAACAAAUUCAAAAACCAACGGAAUACCCUAUUCAUUAAAUCCAUGAAUGUCGCAGGGGCAUUGGUCAAAUCGAAAGGCAUAACCAAAAACUCAAAGUGCCCAUACCGGGUAUGGAAGGCAGACUUAGGGAUAUCCACCUCCAUAAUCUUUAACUGAUGAUACCCGAAUUAAAGAUCAAUUUUGAAGAAAAACUUAGCACCCUGCAACUGAUCAAGCAAAUUGUUAUCUUGUUCAACUACCGAUAAUCAAUACACAUCCGAAGGGAACCAUUUUUUUUACAUACAAAUAACACUGAUGUACCCCAUGAGGACACACUAGGAUGGAUGAAACCCUUGUCUAAAGAUCAUUGAGUUGAUCCUUAAGCUCCUUCAACUCAGUUGGAGCCAUUCUACAUUGAGGAAUAGAGAUUGGACGAGUGUCCAGAUCAAGAUCACUCCCAAACUCAAUCUCCCUAUCAGGAGGAACACCAGGAAAGUCAUCAAGAAGACCUUAGUAGAUUUAUUCACCACUGGAAUAGAAUUCAAAUAAGGGUCAUCUGAGUUAGAAUCUUUAACCCGAACUAGAUGAUAGAGACACCUCUUGGAGAUUAAUCUCCAAGAUCUAAGAUAAGAUAUGAACUUCCCCUUAGGAGUUAGGGAACCAUCCUCCCACUCCACAACUAUCUCAUUAGGGAAUUUAAAGACAACCUUACGAGUAUCACGGUCUAGAGAUGCAUAGAAAAAGUAAAACUAAUCCAUCCCUAAUGUGACAUCAAAAUCAACUAUAUCUAGUUCAAAUAGAUCUACCAAAGUCUCCCGACCACGCACAGAUACCACAUAAUCCCUAUAGAUUUUGCUAGCUAUCAUAAAGUUACGCACUGGGGUAGAAAUAAAAAAGGACUCAAAAUACACUCUGGACCAAAAGCAAAAUGUACAGCCACAAAUAAGGUCACAUAAGAGAGAGAGGACCUCAAAUCAAGUAAAUAGUACACAUUAUGAAAAAAGAGUUUCAAUAUACCAGUAAUAACAUUAGGCGAUGCCUCAGACUCCUAUCGGGUAGUGAGAGUCAUGACAUUAGGCGAUGCCUCAGACUCUUGUCAGGUAGUGAGAGAAUAAAGACAGUUCCAAACAUUGUCGAAACUAGAUGGUGCACCCUUUGGUGUCGAAGCUAAUGAUGAAGCAACAGGAACCUUGUCUGCCCCCGAAUCAACCGUAGCCACUAAAAAGUUAUUAAUCAUAUGCCCUGGCUGACCACAACUAAAGCACUUAUCCCUUUUUUCCUUAUAAUAACCCUAAUAUAAUCUACCACAGAACCUACAAAGAGGCUAUGAUGGAGCUGACUGGGCCUACUAUCCUAAGAUUGGGCACCUUGUGCCUUAAAGUUAUCGCCACCUUAGAAAUUCCUACCACCAGACAGCUUUGAGUAGGGAGCAUUAGCCUUUGAGUAAGACCCAGAGUUGCCCCACUUCUUCUUGGGCCACUUCUCUUCAUCUCUUUCACUCUGUUGUUGUCCACCACCUUGCUCAGAGAACUUAAAUAUAUUGCCCUGCCUCUUUCUUAUUUUAUCGUUCUUCUUCUCUUCUUCUAGCUACUGCAUGUAAUAACCAUCCUAGAGAUAUCUAUGUCCUUGAUCAACAAGGUAGCCUUAAUCUCCAAUAUCAAAUCUCUGGAAAACUAGAAAGCAAACUUUCUUAUUCUAUCUUUCAUGUUAGAAACCAUCUCGAGAGCAUACCGAGAUAACUGGUGAAACUUUAAGGGAUACUCCUUGACUGACAUUUUGCCUAGCCUCAGAUUGACAAACUCUUCUACUUUUUCUUCCCUCAACUCCUGAGAAAAGAAGCAAUCCAAGAAAGCAUUAGAGAAAUCUUCCCAUAGGGAUGACUUAGCCUCAUCACCCCUUGACUGAUCCCAUUCCUUGUACCACUAGUACACCACAUUUCAACUGGAAGGCAGGAAACUACUGGCCCUCCACAUUUGUGGCAUGCAUAACUCGAGAAAUCUUUUCCAUUUCAUCCAGAAAACCUUAUGAAUCCUCCUCCACCUUAACACUAGUAAAUGUCAGAGGGUUCAACCUUAUGAACUGGCCAACCCUCGUGGCAUCAUAAGAUGGAGUAACAAAUGCACCACGCUCAGCCUGAGAAGCUACCAACUAAGCCAACAUAUGGAUAGACUGACAAAACUUAACAUUCAUCACAUCAUCCUAAGGAGCUCAAGAAAGACAGGAGGGAACUAGUGUAACUCUAGAAUGACAAUCAGGAACUAGACCCCAUAAGUAGAUCAAGUCCCAUUAGCAUUGUCCACGGGUGGGACAAAGGAGUUUCCAUGAGCAUUAAAUAGUUGAGGUGGCAUAAUCUAAAAAGAAAACAAAUAGGAAUUAGAGUAGAAUUAAAGACCUUAGACUCUACAGCUUGAUAACAAAAUAUGAGAAGGAUAAAUAUUCCUAGAUACCUCGUAGCCUCUCCCUUAUGAGUGUGGCAUGCUACCCAGCCUUAAAAUAGACUCUACUUGACAAGACUUUAUGAACUCCCAAGUGACCAUGAACUUAGGUCUCUAAUACCAAUCUGACAAGACCAAAACCAGGACCUAGUCAUGUCGGGCAUCUAAAGUUUGACCCGGACCAGAGACCAACCCCAAUACCCAACUAUAACUAUCCUAUACCCAAUGUCAAAUAAAUUUUAAACAUAUAACUAGAUAGAAUAAUUAUAAUUGAUAGGCAUUUAAUAAAGUCCAUAACCAUAACCAUCCAAACAUCUAACUAAGAAUCCAGUCAGUAUCAGUCUUCAUACCAAUAUCGAUGCCAAGGCAUAUACCAAUACUGACACCGCCAAUUCCCAUAGUAGUCAUACAAAGCCUCUAAUAGAAAUCAAAGAACAUCCUAUCGGGACAUACCCCCAACCAUAGCCAAAAACAAAGUCCAAUAAAUAAACAAGAAUAUGAAAAGAAGUACAUGGCAUGAAAUAGAGUCUUCUGGAGUAUGGAAGCUUACUACUUCAGUCCAACACAAAGUUGUUCCCGAAUCCAAGAUCAUUGAGUAGGAGGAGUAGUAUGGCCGAUUCCUACAUCGCGUGGGGAUACAUUUCCCGAAGAUGGGUUAGCGGAUGAAUGCUAGUAUGUACUCAGGAAUAAGGAUAAAACAAUGCCAUUAUUCAAAAUCUAAGUAAAUAACCCCAUGCAACAAUAUACAUACAUAUAUAUACCAUACCAGGAAAGGGAAUAACUAUAUGCAACCACAUACAUACAUAUAUAUACCAUGUCGGGAAAGAGAACUGGGUUUAGCAUGAAUUUAAGACCUUUAACUUGGGAUUAUUUAGCUCUGUCAUCCUAAAUCCACCCAUGGGCUAUAUGGGUCCAUCCCCUUACUAAAAAAGCACCGGCGCGUAUUAGCCGCAUGAGUUGGAGAAAAAUUUAAGAUGAAUAGUACAUCUCCUAAAUAUAAGUGUGACAUGAUACACACAGUCACCAAGACCAACCUCACAUCAGCAAACAUGAGUUUCCAGUUUUGGUCCCCCUGGGACCACCACAUUUCAUGACUUUGCUAACACAUCCCUCUUUAAGCCCAUAUUAAAACUAUUUACACACAUCCAACCAAUUACCAAGGAGUCCUUUUUAUUAGGCAUUAACCAUUGGUAUCAUCAUAACAAACCCAGAGCUUACAGGUCUAUCCAUUUAUGUCAUACAAAAGACAUUAAACCAAUUUGACUCCAAAGUUUUUGUUCAAACCAAUACCAUGGACCAAGGACUUUCCAAUAAAUUUAAAAUCAUUUAAACCAAUUUAGGUUCCAUUACUAGAUUAUGAAAUGCAAAGUUUUCAAUUAUAGUCAAAUUAUGUAACAAAAUCAUUCUCAUAGGCAUUUUAACAAACAUGUUGAGGGCAUAAGAUUUUUCCAAUACCAAAACCAUAUAUCAAUUGACCAUUCCCAUGCAACCACAUGUUCAAACCACAAUUAUAACAUAAAAACAUAAGAAAACAUGGGAAAACAUUAUCCAACAAAGAACAACCAAAACCCCCCAAUAUAUACUUCAAAACCCAAAACAAUACCACAAUAAUGCUAUGAAAAUCAUUCAUUCAAAUAUUUUUUUGGUUGAGCUAAAAAUGAGAGAGGAGUAACAUGCCUUAAACAACAAGGAAAAUGAAUUUAAAACACCCUUUAGAGCCUUAAUUGAUUAACUUGGAGAAAACCCUAGUCUUUCUUGAACCAAGAUAUUGAGAGAGAUUUUAGAGUGUUUAGAGAGUGUUUGAUUGUGAAUAAUAGGUUAAGGAAACACACAUCCAACCAAUUACCAAGGAGUCCUUUUUAUUAGGCAUUAACCAUUGGUAUCAUCAUAACAAACCCAGAGCUUACAGGUCUAUCCAUUUAUGUCAUACAAAAGACAUUAAACCAAUUUGACUCCAAAGUUUUUGUUCAAACCAAUACCAUGGACCAAGGACUUUCCAAUAAAUUUAAAAUCAUUUAAACCAAUUUAGGUUCCAUUACUAGAUUAUGAAAUGCAAAGUUUUCAAUUAUAGUCAAAUUAUGUAACAAAAUCAUUCUCAUAGGCAUUUUAACAAACAUGUUGAGGGCAUAAGAUUUUUCCAAUACCAAAACCAUAUAUCAAUUGACCAUUCCCAUGCAACCACAUGUUCAAACCACAAUUAUAACAUAAAAACAUAAGAAAACAUGGGAAAACAUUAUCCAACAAAGAACAACCAAAACCCCCCAAUAUAUACUUCAAAACCCAAAACAAUACCACAAUAAUGCUAUGAAAAUCAUUCAUUCAAAUAUUUUUUUGGUUGAGCUAAAAAUGAGAGAGGAGUAACAUGCCUUAAACAACAAGGAAAAUGAAUUUAAAACACCCUUUAGAGCCUUAAUUGAUUAACUUGGAGAAAACCCUAGUCUUUCUUGAACCAAGAUAUUGAGAGAGAUUUUAGAGUGUUUAGAGAGUGUUUGAUUGUGAAUAAUAGGUUAAGGAAGCCUCCAAAUGUGUUUUAUGUCAUAGGGUUCAAACAGAGUUAUGAGAGAAAAUAUCCAAAAUACCCCCAACUUAAAAUGCAAAAAGGACGCAGGAGGGUACGGUUGAUCCCUCAACUCGUAUCCAUAUCAUACUAGUGGUAUUCUAUAUUCGUAUCUCGAUUAGAAAGUUGGACACCACAUUCUGUCAAACAUACGACUCCUUAGCCUAAAUCAUACAAUCACCAUAUGACAAUUACCCUUUAAGUUAUACCCUAAGUAGAACAUCAAGGCUAGACACUUGACAACAUAUGGAUGGACACCAUACCCCUCGUAUCAUGAACGUAUGACUUAUCACCACCAAUCUAUAACCAUGAUAGAAACUUAACCACUAAAUACUAGACACCCUAUGAGUUAGGUCACCUAACCCGUACCCAUACCAUACGACUAGUAUGGUGAGUUAUAUAAUGAUCAGAAAGCUCAAGACUCAAGAAAUUUGCAAGGGCCAGAACCUAGGGUGUUUCAAAUCAGCUGCAACCUUUCUUCUUUAUUUUAUAGGGACAUGGUCCUUAUUAUUUCCUUUGUCACCUCCAGUCUUGAGAUAUUCCUAAUAAUCCAUUUUGUGCAUUAGUCAAGUCUUUAAUAAAGUGCUCAAGAUUUUUAUGUUUGUGACAAACCUUAAUAGUGCCUCUCUUUUUGUUGUUGCUUCCUCUUUUUUGAAACUGGCCACUUUUAUUCAUAGCUCUAACAAUCCUUUUUGCCAAAUAGGCAACAUUUGUGUCUUCUUCACUUGAAUCAAACUUUGAAGCCUUCAAUGCCAGAGAUUUUCUCUUUUUGCUUCUUUCUUUUGUUGCCCUUGCUACUUCUUGAGUUCAUGAGUCUUCAAAUUACCAAUAAGUUUAUCCAUUGUGAGAGUUUUAACGUUUCUUGCCUCAGUAAUGGCAUCCACUUUGCUAUCCCAAGAUUUUGGAAGAACACCUAUAAUUUUUUUCACCUGUUUAUACAAAGGAAUAACUUCUCCAAAGCAGUGCAAUUCAUUGGUGGUUAAAGUGAAUCUAGUAUGCAUCUCUUAGAUAGUUUCUCCUUCUUUCAUGGUAAAGGUUCCAUACUGAGUAGUUAGCAUAUCAGAUUUUGAAUCCUUCACAUCAAUGGUUACUUCAUGAGUAGUCCUAAAGCAAUUCCAAAUUUCCUUAGCAUUUUCACAAGUAGAUAUCCUAUUAUCUUCAUCAAGUCCUAUGCCAUGGAUAGGGAAUUUCUUUGCCUUGUAAUUCUUCUCAACCUUCUUUUAAUAUUCAUCAUCAAACUCUCUCUUAGGUUUAACAACCAUCCUUGUUAUGUCUCAUUCUUUGACCUCUCUAAUAGGCAUAUGUGGACCAUCAAGUAUUACGUCCAUCAGCUCAUUGUCCUUAGCUAUAAUAAAGUCAUAUAUCCUAGUUUUCCACCACCCAUAGAAAUGUCUAUUAAAAUAGGGUGGUUUAGUGGUAGAUUGCCCUUCUUCUAGAUUAGGUGGAGCAUCCAUGAUCAAUAAAUCACUUUAGGGAUGAACCUUUAAGAGUUUCCUUGCUCUAAUAAAAAUUAUUGAAACGUGGGAGGUUGCACCAUACUAUGAGGGACCAGGUCCCUUAGAGUUAGACACAGUCAAUAAAAUAGUAAAGUAGUAGAAAACUAAAACUUUACUAGAAAUUAAAUAACACAAAUAUUUAACAUAGAAACCUCCUUACUCAAGGGAGGAAAAACUACGCCUUAACCUCACAAGGACUCAACAAUUCACCAUAAUUAAACUAUUGAUUAUAGACUCAAUGGAAACAUAAAUCUAAGCUCUACCAGUUUGUAACAACUCAAUUACAAACCUAUCUUGACAACUCUGCAAGAACUCACCUCAAUAUUGAUUAACUCUAACCAAUAUCAACUCAGGUUACUCUACCUAAGCACUCUCAAGGAUAUAAGAAAAGGACAUUACUCUUAUAACAUGAGUAAUUUAAUUAUAGACGCAAACAUUACUCAAGAACACUCACUGUUUUAGCACACACAAGAACUAUAAACUUAAGCAAUGUUGUAAAGUUGAGUUUUAUCUGAUUUCUCACUUGAACAAUAAGAUUGAAAAAACUAGUGAAUUGGGGAGCAUUCUUUUAUAUUUAUAGCUGGAUAAUGAUUAAGGUAAAAAUAUGAUUGGGAUAGGUGUCUUGAUAGGUACAAGCUCACCUGUAUAGUUUGUUACACUAACAGAUAAAACUGCAUAGGCCAGUAAUAGAUGUAUUGAGUUCAUGAAGACCUAGGGACCUGGUCCCUUGUUGUCAUCUGAUCAUCAUCAAAAUAAGAUAUACCAGGAUUAUUUCUUAUAUAUGUGCUAGGAAACUUUUCUCAAGGAGUUACUAGUCUUACCUCGCUUAUAUUCAUGAUGUUACUGUGGGCUAUUUUUUACCCACACUAGCAGAUCUAGAGUAGAUUGGGCAUACCUCUAAAGCUGAUAGGGCACAUGUCCCCUUUCGGGGGCUUUCUAUCCCCAUUUUGCCUUUCCUUAGCCUCUUUUAAAAUCUCGCGUCCAUUCUAGAUCAUCAUAAUAAUCUAAUUGUCACCUUUUGGAUAGCACCAAGAAGUCUUCAAGUGCCUCUUGACCUAUAAGCAUCCUCUUGUAUGAUCUGAAAAGCCAUUUGGAUUGUAUCAUUUUCUCCUACUUGAAAAAGAUUCAUCCCCGAAUCUACAACUUUCAAUCAUAAGAGGAAAACACAAAAUUAAUAUUUUGUCGAAGCACAAGGGUUAGCAUAAGGGCUAAAUUCAAAACAUCUAUGCUAAGGAGACACCCAUUUAACAUUUAACCAAACAUCCUUUAAAGGUAAUGGAAGAGAAGCCAAUAUUUAAGUUGCAAAGGAGUUGGCUAUGAUAAGCAUCAAUAAAUUCUCUGAAGUUAUCUCCAUUAACAAUGUUACCAAACAAAUCAUCACAUGUUGGAACAACUAAGGUUAGAAUCAAGGAGUCAUUAGGGUGUAGAUUACCCUUCCAUUCACAAAAAAUCAUGUUUACACACAAAACAUUCUUAGCAUUAGCAUAACUAUGCUCACAAACAAAGAAAAUGGAAUGAAUAGAGCUAUGAUUACCUGAGGUAAUACCAAGAACCAGAUUACAUAAAUGUAAGAACAAAUAUCUUAAGCAUCUCACUUGAACAACCCCCAAGAACGAUCCAACUUGUCUAUCCACAAAAGUGUUACAAGAAUCAAGGGUUAAGCAUUCUUUAUCAAGUAGGAACCAUAGACUCUUCUUAGAAUAACAAAUAGACUGACCAUACGGGUUGGGGAUUCCACUUAUUUCAUGCACAUUCAAGUCAUUCCAAAAUAUGGUUAGAAAGAAAUCAACACCAUCUAGGUAGGAUUUUAAGUCAAAUAUCUUUAAAAGAUUAUCUACUUAAGGAUAAAUAUCAUCAUGAGUCCAAGGAAUGUUAGGAAUAAAAUGGGUAGGUACAUACCUUUGGAGAAAAUCCUUGAGCUUGCUCUCUUGUCUUCUAUACUUGCACCAUGUGGCAUUUCCCUCUCAUGCAUCAUCCUGGAAGUUCACACAAGAUUAGAGCCAAAUAUAGGGAAUAACAAUGGCUUGGUUUUGUCACUAAGCUCUCCUUCUUAAUCCCAAAGCUCCUUAUCUUCACCAUUAAUAUCCCUCCUCAUCAUGAGGUUAAGGUUCAUGACCUCUCUUUAUUUGGUCCAAACAUCCUAAUGGGGAACUUUCAUCAUCAAUCCACAAGGUACACUAAAGUCCUCUUUAACUUCCGCUAAUUCCUCUUCACUUACAAGGUAUUCAUCCUCUUGAGGAUUUUACUCACCACCAUCUUCAUGGGUCACCUUAUCCCCAACAAAGUAAAUAUCACCUUCUAACAACACUAUGUUCCUUCGAUUGGGGCAUUCACUUACCUUAUGACCCCAACCUUGACAUUUAAAGCAAACAAUACCUUUAAAAUUGAGAGCAGAAGAUGGAUUACCGUUAUUCGUUGGUGGAUACCUUUGGAUUGCCUUCUCAAUGGGAUUCUUCUCUACAAACUUAUUGGAAUCCUUGAUCUUAUUCCAUCCGGAGGGUGUAGAAGAAUUGUAACUUCUAUUGAAGGACUUCUUUGCAUUAUUGUUCCUUUCAGCCUCAAUGGCUGCUUUAACAAUAUCUUCUAUUCAUUCAAACUUGUGGGCAACUAGUUAAGAAGAAAUAUCAUAAUCUAACCCGCCUUUGAAUCGAUCCACACAAUGAUUUGGGGGUUUGAAAAUCUCAAGACUAAGAAUUAAGUUUUAAAACUCCUCACAAUAGUCUUCCACACCUCUACCUCCUUGCCUCAAUUUAUAGAGCUUUGUUAGUUGAUCUUGUUCAAACCUUUCCAUUACAUACCUCUCUCCCAUGAGUGCCCUCAAUUCAUUCUAAUUCGAGAGGUUGGUAUUAAUCCUUGCACUCUUUAAUUCUCCCACCAAGUUGAAGAAUACCCUUUAAAUUGAGUAAUUACAUGAGAGGCUUUCUUGUGUCCAGUUAACUUAUUAAGUUGGAAAAUCUUAUUGCAUUGUACUUCCUAGUAAAGGUAGACCGAUGGAUCACUAGUUCCUUUGAAGGUAAGAAGAGUGAUCUUGAUUGAGUUAAAACCCAUGUCUCAGCCCAUAUUUCCUUCUUGAUCCCAUUAACGAUCCUCUUAAACUUGGGAAUGGUUUCCCAAGUUUCCUCUUCUAUAUGGAACUGGACCAAAUAUUUCUCCUCGUCCUCUAUGUCCUCCCCCUUGAUCUCAUCUUCUAGUUCAUACAAAUUCCAUAAAGAGAUCCACUUUACCUAACCUUACAUAAGGUUUCUUACUUCCCACAUCAUCUAUUUGGACUGGUUAAUUAUGGUUAGCCAAGAUUUGAGGUGGUUAGUUUUGUAUAAUGGGAUGGUUUUGUGGGUCUUCUUGAUUGACUUGAUUUAAUUAGGGUUGCAGUGGAUGAACGGGUUUUGAUUAUUUAGGUAAAUAGUACCUUGGAGAGGGGGAUCUUGUACUUUCCUCGGGGGAUUGUACAUUUGAUGAAGUAUUUUUGGAGUUAUAGUAGAGGAGGUGUUAUGAGCAUGGCCACUAGAUAAAGAAUAAGGUUUUUGAGGAGUUGAUGUGGUGGAAUCUAAAUGCCCUUCCACAUUAACUAUCCUUCCAUUCAAUCCCGAUAAUUCACUUCGCAUUUCAUUUACAUCUUGUUUCACACUCAUUAUGGCCGCCAUUAUAGCUUCUAUGUUUAUCUUACUCGAAGCUCUUGGGAUAUAUUCUCCCAAUGCCAUACCUAAAUAAAGUAAAUAAUAAAACUAAAACUAAAACAAAAAACAAGUUAAGGAUAGGAAAUCAACCUCACAAGCUCUCAAAGUUCACACAAUCGUGUUGUCUCUCAAUUGGUAUCGAAAGCGUUGAUAGAUCAUUUAUACUCCGAUGAGAAUUCUUUGUACUAAUUUUGGAUUGAGGUUGGAAUGGAUUAUUUUUUGAAAUGACUCAAAAAAAUAUAUACGGACUUGAGUCAAGAAGCUAUGACGAAUUAAAAACUAGAAAAGCUUAAAAGAAAAGAAACGUUGAAAGAAAUGGGACUCAAAAACUAGUCAAUCAACUUAGUAGAUAAAUUAAUUAUUUGUUGAGUAGUUUAUGAAUAAAAAGACUAUAUUAGGAAUCAAUAAAUUGAAACUAAAGAAUUAAAACUUGAACAAAAUGGAAUCCAAAAGCUUUAAAUGUGUUUGGAAGCCUGAUUUACGGUCAAUUGGGGUUGAUCUGCAUUGAGGAGUUCUUGCAGCGGGUGGGGUGCAUCCCCAAUGCACCUUGGAUGUAGAGGUGGACUUAGCUACUUCCUUGAGGUGUAGCCACAGGUCUGGAGCAAACCAGGCGCAACUACAGCGCAGGUCACCCACCCCUCUCUUGAAUGGGUGAUUUUUACCUUCUAGUGGUCCCUUUUUGUACUCUCUCUUGGAAUAUACUUUGGAAUUUUCUUAGAUGCACAAGUAAAAACACUUUUUCACUACUUUUCAUCCUUCUUUUUGUAUCAAACACCCUCUUUUGAUAAAAUUUCAGCUUGAAGAUUUGAAUUUCUCCAAGAACACUAACUUCUUCUCCCCAAGCUCGGAUGAGUUAAAAUUUUGAACGUAAGAACUUUUCAACGUUCUAAACUCAUUCCCAAUAUAGUUUUACCAAUUUUUCCAGAUUUUUCAACCCACUUCACUUUUCUUCAAGUUCAAGCUCUUAACAAUGGUAGCUCACUUAAUAUGACUUCGAUUAAGCUCAAAUUUGAAAACUAGACUCUAAUAGUGUUAGGGAACUCAAAUCUAACACUAGAAACACAAGAAAAACACAUAAUCAAAAACUCAUAAUUUGACCUAAGAAUAAAAUGUGAAUAGUAACUUCUUUUAAAUUUUCAAUUUUGACACUUUUUUUUGUUGAUUUUCAAGAUAACAAACCCAAAAUUGACUUUGCAGGAAUAAAAUCAAGCUCGGAUCUAAUACCAAAUGAUAAUGAAACAAAUGAUGGAAUUGAAACUAAGUAAAGAAAUGAAGAAAACAAAGAUAAAGAUAGAUAGAUAGAUAGAUAAAGCAAUAAGAUAGACACAAGAAGGAAAUGGAUAACAAACAAAGGGUAUAUCAAACCCUUAAUCCUCUAUUGAAUAUCCGAUCAAGCACCUAAAUCUUACAUAGAUCUCAAGGGAAUUAGAUUCCCAAGAAACCCACACUUCUAAACGGAAGAUUAACACAAGUGAUUCUGCGCUUGCCUCGCACUCUCACAAGAGUAUUGUCAUGAUCUAAACCAGGGUCUGUCCAUGACGGGUAUCUCAAUUCCAGUAAAGACAGGAGACAACCCCCUUUGCCUAGCCAAACAGAACAAAACACAUAUAGCAGCGGAUGUAUUUCAAACAUAUAGUAAGAUAGAAUAAAUGUAAUCUCAAAGGAGUCUAAGAAUAUCAACAACAAUACCCAGUUUGCAAUAAUCCACAAAGUCUCUAUGACAAAACCUAAUAGAAUCUAAGUCGAUACAUGCCUUCGACGAUAGCCAAAGAAACCAUAUGAAUAGUUUAUGACAUAAGAGAAUAGAAAAAUAAUGAAAUAAAGCUCUUCCAGAGAAUGGAAGCUCACCACUCCAAGCUAACUCCUGACACCCUAAAAUCCUAUCACUGUGUAGAAAAGUAGAAGUAUUAAUGUUGCCUGCAUCACAUGGGGAUAUAGUAUCUGAUAAUGAUGAGCGGGUUGAGUGCUAGCAUGUAACACAGGGCAAGGAUAAAAUAAUGUCAGUUAAAAGUUAAAUUUCAAACUCACUAUACAUGUUCAUAUGCAUAUGUAUAUAUAGUAGAUGUUGGGGUAGGGAACAAGGUUUAGCAUGAUAGUAAAACAUUAUCUAGGACUAUGUAGCUAAGCUGUCAUAAACAGGCACCCACGGGCUAUAUGGGUUCAGCUUUCCCUGCUAAAAGAGCCCCAGUGUGUGUUAACCGCAUGAACCAGAGGCAUCAAGGAAGACCAAAAAAUGCCCCGAGCCCACGUCAACCUAGAUACAAAAUGUAUCAAUAGUGUGAACCAUACACACGGUCAUCUAGACCAACCCUCAAGUCGGUAAAUGUGAGUUUCCAGUAUAAGUCAUUCAAGACUCACACCUUCACCUCUUAGCUACAUAACACCCAUUAAUCCCAAUUAAAACAACUUUCACAUAACCCAUUCAUUAACCAAGGAAUCAUAUAUUAAGGCACACCAUGGUAUUGUCAUACCUAUUUAGCUUGCAAGCUUAUACUUAUGCCAUUACAAUUCCAUUAACUUGAGGGAAUGCCUCGACACCCUUUGUUCAUUAUAUCAAGUUGGAGGAAUGCCUCAACCUCCUUUAGUUUAUCAAAAUAAAACAUAGCCAACAAGGCUUCAAAAUCUAUUUUUAUUGUUUAAUCAUUUAUGUAAUGCUAUAGUAUAGGUUAGUAAAUCAAACUAAGUGACAAUUCCAUAAUUCAAAGCCAUUUACACAAGUGGGUUCAGGGAAUACAAUUAUUCAAAAUUAAUUUCCAAGUUCAAAACAUCAAUUUGAGGGAUUUUAUCGACCCUCAUUUUAAUUCCCCCGCCCAUGCACCCUAUUAGUUCAAAAACAUCCACUUCAAAGCAUGAACAACUCAUGAAAACCAUGGGAAAAUAAUUCAAGGAUCAACCAUUUCAAAACCAUCAACCCGUGUUAAAACUCACAUUAAAAUCCAUACAAUUAAACCAUUUAAAAUACGUUCUUUUCACAAAAUAAGAUUUGGAGAAGAGUAACAUGCUUGAGAUAUUACGAUUUACGAAAAGAAAUUAACCCUUGGAAGUUCUAGAGACCAAUUUCUUAAAACCCUAGCUUAUUCAUGCCUUAGGGAUUUAAGAGAGUUUAGGAGAGUGUUGAUGACUGGUAGGUAUUGAAAAUAAUGCCCAAAGGUGAUUUAUGGUUGUAGGAUCUAAGUAGGGGAAAAGGGAAAUGACCAGAAUGUCUUUAAUAAAUAGACUAAAAAUUAACCACACAAUCGCUACGGGUCACAUGAUGACUCAUAAUGACUGGAUAUGAGUCAUUUCUUAGACUCAGAGUUUGGUCAGUAUCAUAGGUAUGCACACUGGUCUGACUAUGAUUCGUACCUUAUAACUCAUACUCAGACCUUAUGACUCGUAUGGUCUAGUUGUUGUAUUGGAAGAAACAUUUAGGCAUCCUUACUGGUUAGGCUACGAAAACCGCUAUAUGACUUGUAAUGGGUCUUGACAACUCAUUGGGUGAUAAUCAUGACCAAUACAAAGACUUUUCCAAACACACUGGUCAGGCUACGAUUACAGUCCUACAACUCAUAUGAUAAGUCUUAGUCUGGGCAGUGAGCUCAGAGGUUAAAAAAAUUUUAAGGGCCAAAAUCUGGGGUGUAAGUAUACAUUCAUAAUUUAUCAAAGUCUAACAACUAAAUGGAAGAAAAGACAUAUUUAUAGUCUAGGGUUAAUUAUUACAUCAUAUGGGCCAAAAAAUUAUCCAUUUGGGAAAGACAAAGCAUAGAAGCCCAUUAAGAAUUCCCUUAGGCAAUCCAAGCACACAUGGGAUGCAUCUUCAAGUCAUGUGAGUUAUUUUUGACCCACUCUAGCAGAUCUAGAGUCGGUUGGGCACACCUACAAAGCAGAUGGGGUGCAUUCUCCUUUCGGGGGCUUUCUAGCCUCAUUUUGCCUUUCUUUGGCCUCUUUAAUAUCUCUCGUUCCUCCUCAAUCAUCAUAAUAAUUCAAUUAGCACCUUUUGGAUAGAACCAAUGAGCCUUCAAGUGCCUCUUGAACUAUAAGCCUCUUCUCUAAUAAUCUGGAGGCCAUUUGGAUUGUAUUACAAUACAAGUUAUGGCAUGGAUUUUAUUUCCUGAUCUUUUACCUACUUUUUUUGUGAUGAAUCACUUUUUUCAUUAGAAGAAACUAUGGGAAAAACCAUCCAUCUUGAUAUGUCCACUAUUAACAAGGCCCGACCUAGUUGUGCGAGGGUGAAAGUCCAAAUUGAUUUAGCAACUAAGUUACCUGAUAAAGUGGAGAUAGAAGUGAAUAAAACAAAAGAAGCAAGGAUUCAAUCAGUCAAAACUCGAUAUGAUAUGCUUCCUAAAUAUUGUUUCAAGUGUAAAGUUCAAUGUCAUGAGAAGGUGGAGUAUAGAAUUUUACAUUCAGAAUUGAAAAAUUAUGUGCAAAAAAGACAUAAAUAGGAAGUUAGUUUUUGCUAAAUGGAAUCCUACAAGUCAAAAAUUUCAAAUUGAAAAAGGAACCAACAAAUUUCUAGAUAAUGUUGUAGACAUGAAAAAUGAGGAAAAGGUGUUACAGGCCAAUAAAACAAUCAGUACUAAGAACUCAUUUGGCAUCCUUCAACAACAAGAUGAAGGCAGUUAACUUACUCAAGCUACGGGAACAAUGACCUCAAUGGUGGAGGGAAAGGAAAAUAUGAAGAAGAAGAAAAAUAAUGUAAAAGAAAAGCUGAGUAACAUGCAAAAUAUAGAUCAACAUAAAUCUGUUUAGUAGAAAUAAAAUAGGAAAAAUAUAUAUUCCAUGAGUUAAUAUGGAUAAUCAGGUGGAGGGAUGUAUUACAACUGACAAGGACAACAUCAAUGAGACUAGCAACAAUAGUUGUUCAAUGGGAACUGCAGAACCUAUUCAUGAUAAAUAUAUGAUAUUAAAUGUAGUGGAUCACAAAGAUACUCAACAACUUACAUGUACCAACAAAAAUCUAAGGAAAAGAGGCAGAAGUAUAUUGCUAGAACAGGGGAAUGUAGGUGUAAAUCAAAAUAAAUUACAUAGUAGUGGAAAAUACAUAGAAGACAUUCAUAGAAACAAAGAAAGUCCACAAAUGCAAAAAAAAAAACAUGUUGAUUAUUGAUAGUCACAGUGCAAGAGGAGGUGAUAUUGUGAAUAAUGAUAUACCUGAUGACAUACAUUCAAAUAGGGUUCAAUUAGCCCUUGCUCAAGCUACAUAAAAUGAGGCACUUUAGGUGGAUGAAUCAGGUGUUAGAGGUGAUGAGGGAUUUCUUCCAAAUAGCAUAGAAGGGGAGGCAAGUAAUCUGGCAUUAGCAGCAUUGAAAAAAUCAAACAACAAAAAAUUACAUAAUUUGGUUUCCCACCAAAUAACAAAAGAGGUAAAUCAUGAAAGUACAGAUACAGAUGACAUAUGGAUAAAAGAUACAGAAGAAGGAAAUAAUCAAAAAAAACUAAACCAAGUAAUGAAAGAAGCAGGUUUAUCACCACGUGCAAAUAACAAAGGUAAAAAGAGUAGGAUCAAAGUUGAAAAGCCUACAAGGACCAGUUCUAGGAGGGGUGGUAAAGCCAGCAUUCAAUGAAUUUAAAAGCACUUUUCUGGAACAUCAGAUUAGUUAGGUCACAACAUGUUUUCCACAUAGUACAAAUGUUACAUAGGCAUCAUAUUACUUUUAUUGCUUUGAUGGAGUCUUUUCAAGAUAUCAGACACAUAUAGAGGUAUAAAAGAAUAUUGGGCAUGAAAUAUACAAAUUAUAAUAUGAAUGUAAAGAUAUGGAUUUUUGUUUAAAAAAAUAUACAGGUGGAGACAUUAGCAUAUUCUGAUCAGCAAAUCACAUUUUAGCUAGUUGUUCAGAAUGAUCAAUAGGUGAUUAUUAUAGCUGUUUAUGCUAAAUGUGAUGUAAGUGAAAGAAUUGCUUUAUGGGAUCUAUUUACUCAUUGAGUCAUAAUGUUAGAGUAUCUUGGAUGGUAAGGGGACUUUAAUGUUAUCAUGAAUGAAGAAGAGAAAAUUGGAGGAUUACCAAUGUAUCCUAAUGUAUAUGAACAUUUUGCUUUCUACAUCAACCCCUGUGAUCUAUUUGAUAUUAAUUUAAAAGGGAGUCCAUUCACUUAGUGGAAUGGUAGGGCAGAUGAUCCAUGUAUUUUUAAGAGAUUAGACAUAAUCGUUAUUAACUAAGAGUUUUUGGGCAUUAUGGGGCGUAUUGAGGUUGAACAUCUAUCCAGGACACGAUCAGAUCAUGCUCCUUUGUUAUUCUCUUGUAGUGAUGAAAAUGUUCAGUUUCACAAGCCUUUUAGGUUUUUGAAAUUUUGGACUGAGAAAGAGGACUUCAAAGAAAUGGUAAGAUAGAAUUAGGUAUCAAAAAAAUGUAGGCAUAUCUUUAUCAAUUUAAAGCAAAAAAUGAAGAAAACCAAAAUGGCUCUAGCUUUAUGGAGCAGAUUCAUGUUUGGAGAUAUAUUUAAAUAAUUAGUCAUCAAGAAAUACAUAGUAAGAAUCAAAAAUGAUUUGUUUGAAGAAAGUCCUACUACUACUAACAAAAUAAUUUUUCAGAAGGCACAGGCUGAGUUGAGGUAGUGUUUACAUUAUGAAGAAGAGUAUUGGAGAUAAAAAUCUGGUAUUCAAUGAUUUUCAGAAGAGAAGGAAAUAUGAAAUUCUUUCUGGUGAAUGCUAGAAGGAAAAAGCUAGAAAUAACUAGAAUUUAGAGAGUUGAUGGUUCUUGGGUUGAAGAUAAUAAUUAGGUAGCUGUAGAAAUAAUUGAUUUCUACCAGAAAUAAUUCACUGGAUCAGUUGAGUCUGGUGCAUAUUCUUUUAUUAAUUUGAUUUCUACCCUAAUCACAAAAUAAGAGAAUAAUUUGUUGAAGGUUUGUCCUGACACUGAAGAAGUUAAAAAGGUAGUUUCUAAACUGAAUGGGGAUAACGCUUGUGAGCCAGAUGGUUUCACUGGACAUUUUCAUCAGUUUUGAUGGGACAUUGUUAGUGGUAAUAUUGUGAAGGUAGUUCAUGUAUUUUUUAUGUAAUGACACUGCCUAAAUCUAUCACUCAUACUAAUUUGGUUCUAUUGCCAAAUAAAGAGAAGGUCAAGAGAGAAGGUCUUGACCUUCUUUGACUUAAGACCUAUUAGUUUGAGUAAUUUUCCAAACAAAAUCAUAUUUAGAAUUCUUCAUGAUAAAUUAUAAGGUUUCUUACCUAGGCUCUCUCAAAAUCAAUCUGAUUUUGUUAAGGGAAAAAUUAUCACAGAUAAUGUAUUAUUGGCCAAGAAAAUUAUAUGCGAUAUUAAAAAAGGGAGUAAGGCUGCAAAUAUGGUAAUUAAGCUUGAUAUGACCAAAGUCUACGAUAGAGUGGAGUGAAAUUUUUUUAUGGAAAUGUUGGAGAAAAUGGGCUUCUCAAAUGUCUUUACUGAUAUGAUAUGGAGACUAGUAGCCAAAAAUUGGUACUCUAUCCUAAUAAAUAGGGAAGUUCAUGUCUUCUUCCAUUCUUCUAGAAGAGUAACGCAAUGGGGUCCUUUAUCCCCUUCUUUAUUUAUUAUUAUUGCUGAAGUUAUAACAGGGCACUUAAUAAUUUAUUCUCAUAUGAUGAUUUCAGGAGUUAUGGACUGACUAAAUAGAGUGAUCAAAUAAAUCAUCUUGCUUAUAUUGAUAAUACAAUAAUAUUUUUUUUGCUGACAGGUUUUCAUUGUAAUUAAUUAUGCAGAUCUUAAGAGAAUAUGAAAACCAAUCGUGUCAACAGGGAAAAGAGUGCCUUUUAUGUACAUAACAAGGUUACUCAUGCACAUGUUUAAUUGGUGGAGCAUUGUACUGGCUUUUCCAAGAGGUAAAUUUCCAUUGACAUAUCUGGUUGUGCUAUUGGACAUGCUAGGAAAAGAAAGAUUAAUUUUUUAGAGCUAUUAAAGAAGGUACAAAAUAAACUUCAGUUAUGGAAAGGCAAACUAUUAUCAUUUGGAGGUAAAGUUGUGUUGAUUAAUAAUGAUUUGCAGAGUAUCCUCAUUUAUCAAUUAUUCGAUCUUAUACCUCCAAAAUGUGUGAUUCAUGAUCUUUAUAGAUUUUUUGCUAAAUUUCUAUGGAACUUUAGAAAAAGAGGGAGGAGUAAACACUAGGUCUCUUGGACUAAUAUAUGUCUACCAAAAAAGGAAAGUGGUAUUGAUUUUAGAUCUUUUUUUUAUGUGUCUAAAUCCUUAUUUUCAAAGCUAUGGUGGUAUUUUAGAAUACAAAAAAAUAAUGUGGACUAAUUUUAUGAGAACAAGUACUGUAAAAGGCAUAGACCACAAGUAGUUGAAUGGAAAGGUGGUUCUCAAGUUUGGAAGUUUAUGUUACAGGCUCGAGAUUAUUUUGACCAAGAAAUAUGGUGGAAAUAUAAGUGUGGACAUGUUAGUAUUUGGUCAGAUAAUUGGACUCAAAAGGGAGCUUUACACUAUUAUCUCCCAUUAAACUAUAAUAAUAAUGGAUGAUUGGAAGAUGUGCAUCAAUUAAUGAAUCAUGAUGGGUGGAAUAGGGAUCUACUUAAGGAAAUUUUUUCUGAAGAUAGAUGCAAUCAUGUACUUAAUAAGAUUGGGACAAUAGGAUAUUUUAAUGCUUGGGAUAAUCCAUGGUGGAUGCCACAAGGUUCUAGAAAAUUUACAAUUAAAAGUGGUUGGACUAUCAUAAGACAGUCUGGGAAUGUCAAUGAGGAUUUAAGGUUUAUAUGGGAAAAGGGUAUACCUUUCAAAGUAUCUUUCUUCUUCUUGAGUUAUGAAAGAAAAUAUUACCUACAGGUGACUUUCUAGUCAGUACAUGAUGGGAAGAAAUGACUAAUUGUGUUUGUUGUGAGUUACCAGUUCAUGAAUCCUAUGAACAUCUCUUUGUUCAGUGUUCUGCAGCUAAUAAUUUGUGGAUAGUUUUUGCAUCAAUAUUGAAGUGUAGGGCCCUUUUCUUCAUUUAAAAUAUGUUAUCUACAAGUGGUGGAAUGCUAAUUAUUGUGCUAAACUUAGGCCCCUAUUUAUUGUUAUUCCUGUUUUCAUACUGUGGAAAAUAUGGAAAGAAGAAACAUCAUCAAACAUGAAGGUAGGAUGUCAAUUCAUGGCAUACAAUAGGAAAUAAAUUGGAAUCUGUAUUUGUUUGCUAAGAUAAGAUAUCCUUGGCUUAAUAAUAUCCCUAGUAACUGGCCUAUGAUGGUUAUGUUCUUGGAAGUUUAUAAACCUAAUAUCCAGGCUACUGUGGUCAAGUGGAAGCCUCCUAUCAAUGGUUUUUAUAAGUGCAAUAUUGAUGGUGCCUCUAAAGAUAACCCUUGUCCUAGUGGUGGUGCUUUCUGUAUUAGAGACAGUAAAGGGAAAUUUAUUUUUGCUAAGUCAUUCUCUUUUGAUAUCUUAACUAACUUAGAGAAAGAAUUUGUUUCCUUUAAGAAGGGUUUAGAGUAACGUGUGAGUCAAAAGUUGUUAACAGUUACUAUGAAAUAGAUUCUCUCAUUCUUAAGAAAAUCCUAGAUGGAAUCUGGGAGAUUUCCUGGAAGGUUUCUAUAUAUAUCAAAAGAAUUCAAUGGUUGAAGAGGCAAUGUCAGGUGGAGGUGUUGCAUACGCUAAGGGAAGGGAACAAACUGGUGAAUUUUUUAGCUAAUGAAGUUUUCUUUUUAGCAGGUACGCAAAAUAUAAUACACAUUGCUACAGGAUAUUGCAGAUGAAGGAAAAAUAAUUAUAAAAAUGGACAAGCAUUAAAUCCCAUCACUGAAGUUUGUCAAAUAACAUUUUUUUCUAUAUAAAAGGCAGUCAUAUUAAAUAACAUACCAGAUCUGAGAUAGCAAAUAACAAGAAAUGCAAAGGUCAAGGCACAUACAGAGGGGGAAUUGAUCCAAAUAGAGGUACAUAUAGCUAUAUUAACAUUGAUUGUCGAGCAAUAAAGUACAAGUACAUAUGUACAUUUUAGACUAGUGCAUGCGACAUGGGUAAAAUACUAAGCUUCAGAAAAGAGGGUUUUGUACCUUUUUCAUGCUUACUCAAAUCAUCUAAGUUAAUGUCCUUUGUCAGUGGUAUCAGCUUCUUGUUGAGCUCAACCUGUCAAGGGUAUGAUUUAGAUAAUCCAAUUUAAACAUUAGAUUAGGUAAUGGAGGAUUUUGGGAAAGAUUUACGUUUACCUGAGGAUCAAAUGUCUCAAUUUGUUCUAAGGGGAGUUGAUGAAGUCUUCCUAUAAUCCGAUUUCAUGGCAUUUGUGAGACAAUUAUAAAUGUCUAAAAUGAAAUUCAUAACUUCACUAAUGGACAGAUUUGAGCUAAAUACAUGGUGUUGGCUUAAGCUUUCCCUUUUAAUCCGUCAGUGAGGCAGUUUCAGCUUUAUAAUCCGUGUGGGGAAGAUGAAAAUGCAUAAGAAUUUUUCUAGAUACUUAUCAUACUUUUUUAUAUGACAUUCAUAGUUGCAACAACUACAGGGGCAUUAAGUUGUUGAGUCACACUAUGAAGAUUUGGGAGAAAGUGGUUGAGCGGAGGUUGAGGAGGAGUGUGUCUAUUUCGGAGAAUCAGUUUGGAUUUAUGCACUGCCGCUCGACGGAGGAGGAAAUUUACCUGGUGUGGAGACUAAUGGAGACGUAUAGGGAGUGAAAGACGGACCUCCACAUGGUUUUC
RNAcentral lists this long non-coding RNA (24988 nucleotides) under Capsicum annuum. RNAcentral's name for it is "long non-coding RNA (CANN_LNC017127)". The record is from RNAcentral. Lineage: Eukaryota; Viridiplantae; Streptophyta; Magnoliopsida; Solanales; Solanaceae.